Molecule: regulatory RNA element, 107 nt
Organism: Desulfitobacterium hafniense Y51
Lineage: Bacteria; Bacillati; Bacillota; Clostridia; Eubacteriales; Desulfitobacteriaceae
Rfam family: TPP riboswitch aptamer (THI element)
About the family: Vitamin B(1) in its active form thiamin pyrophosphate (TPP) is an essential coenzyme that is synthesised by coupling of pyrimidine and thiazole moieties in bacteria.
Source: Rfam
AGAAUAGUAUUGGGGAGCUGGAAAACGGCUGAGAGGGAAACGAGUGUUUCCGACCCAUUGACCUGAUCUAGGUAAUGCUAGCGGAGGGACUUAGGAUACAUGAGCUU